CAACUCUUGGCAAUGGAUCUCUUGGUUCUCGCAUCGAUGAAGAGCGUAGCAAAGUGCGAUAAUUAUUGCGACUUGCAUUCAUAGUGAAUCAUCGAGUUCUUGAACGCAUCUUGCGCCUAGUAGUCAAUCUACUAGGCACAGUUGUUUCAGUAUCUGCAUCCACCAAUC
This 168-nucleotide ribosomal RNA is filed under the name Lichtheimia corymbifera. Its description in RNAcentral is "5.8S ribosomal RNA". It matches the Rfam family "5.8S ribosomal RNA". Rfam says of the family: 5.8S ribosomal RNA (5.8S rRNA) is a component of the large subunit of the eukaryotic ribosome. It is transcribed by RNA polymerase I as part of the 45S precursor that also contains 18S and 28S rRNA. The record is from RNAcentral. Lineage: Eukaryota; Fungi; Mucoromycota; Mucoromycetes; Mucorales; Lichtheimiaceae.